RNAcentral lists this ribosomal RNA (847 nucleotides) under uncultured bacterium. RNAcentral's name for it is "bacterial SSU rRNA". It matches the Rfam family "Bacterial small subunit ribosomal RNA", at positions 44 to 887 of the family's 1533-position model. The record is from RNAcentral.
GUGCCUAACACAUGCAAGUCGAACGGUAACAGGUCUUCGGAUGCUGACGAGUGGCGCACGGGUGAGUAACGCGUGGAUAUCUGCCUAUUAGUGGGGGACAACUUGUGGAAACGCAAGCUAAUACCGCAUAAUCCCUACGGGGGAAAGCAGGGGACCUUCGGGCCUUGUGCUGAUAGAUGAGUCCGCGUCUGAUUAGCUAGUUGGUAGGGUAAAGGCCUACCAAGGCGAUGAUCAGUAUCUGGUUUGAGAGGAUGAUCAGACACACUGGAACUGAGACACGGUCCAGACUUCUACGGAAGGCAGCAGUGGGGAAUAUUGCACAAUGGGCGCAAGCCUGAUGCAGCGACGCCGCGUGUGGGAAGAAGGCUUUAGGGUUGUAAACCACUUUCAAUUGGGAAGAAGAGAUGAGAGUUAAUAACUUUCUGAUUUGACGGUACCUUUAGAAGAAGCACCGGCUAAUUUCGUGCCAGCAGCCGCGGUAAUACGAAAGGUGCAAGCGUUGUUCGGAUUUACUGGGCGUAAAGAGAGUGUAGGUUGUUUAUUAAGUCGGAUGUGAAAUCCCGGGGCUCAACCUCGGAACUGCAUUCGAUACUGGUAGACUAGAGUUCGGGAGGGGUAAGCGGAAUUCCGUGUGUAGCAGUGAAAUGCGUAGAUAUACGGAGGAACACCUGAGGCGAAGGCGGCUUACUGGACCGAUACUGACACUGAGACUCGAAAGCGUGGGUAGCAAACAGGAUUAGAUACCCUGGUAGUCCACGCCCUAAACGAUGUCAACUAGCCGUUGCGGGUAUCGACCCCUGCAGUGGCGAAGCUAACGCGAUAAGUUGACCGCCUGGGGAGUACGGUC